This is a long non-coding RNA of Daucus carota subsp. sativus, 682 nucleotides long. RefSeq lists it as uncharacterized. The transcript has 3 exons. The record is from RefSeq and is a predicted model, not a curated record. Lineage: Eukaryota; Viridiplantae; Streptophyta; Magnoliopsida; Apiales; Apiaceae.
AUCUUAAAUUCAAAUUUAGUUUCAAGCGAUAAAUUUUUAUUAUGCACCUGUACAUAAAAAUAAUGCAUGACUAUUGGGUAUCCUUGCUCUCAAGCUCAGAAUUAGAUUCACUCUCAUCAACCACUUGACCUUCCCAAUCCUUCAUUUCAUAUACUCUCUACAUGCAGUCUUUACAUAUUCUAUUUACCAACAAAUACAUUGUGUGGUGGUCUGUUAAAUUAAGCUUCAUCUGUCACUCAUCAAUAUUCUUUUGGAAAUCAUCAAGAUGAUGGAAAGUGAUCAGGUGAAGAAAGCAGAAGAGAGUAAGACUAGAGGUCUAGUGGAUAUUGUGUUUUCUUGGUCUUUCCAUGAUGCUCUCAACAAAAAUCUUUACAUGGGAAAGGUGAAUAAGAUUCCUACAACAUUCUUCUCAGUAGAGGAGUACAAGAAGUCAUUUAUGAAUCCUCUUAUUGAGGAGACACAUGCAGACUUACUCUCUAAUAUAAUGAAGGUGAAUCAUGCACCAUUGUUUGAAAUAGUGGAUAUCAAUAUGUCAGAAGGGUUUAAGCCUCCCAGAGAUCUGUUUUAUGAUAUUGUUUUGAGAAAAAUAGGAAGAAAAAAUGAAAAUGAAGAAAAUGAUGAACUUCAGAUGUUUGAUCUUAUUGCCUUAACAGACAUAAGGCCAAGGUAUGUAGCUGAUUUG